AGCUAGAUGUUGCUGGGGCCGCUGUGAGCCAAUCAUCAGCUGGCAGCUGGAAGUUUGCUGGCAGCUGGAAGUUUGCUGGGGCCCCUUGGCUGUGGCUCUCAACAUAUGGGUAAGAAUCCUGGCUCCAGCACUUAUUCCCUGUAUGACCUUGGGCAACUCAUUUAACUUCUUAGCAUCAUUUUCAACAAAAGGGCCAAGUUACCUCUUCCAUUAUCCAGUAUUAUGCAUUAAGAGGCUAACCAAAUAUGACUUCUAGCUCCUUCUAUUAAAGAUUGUUUUUACUUUUGUUUUAAGAGGACUUUUUAGGCAACAAUUCCACUAAAUGCUUUAAUCAAUUAACCAAUAUUGGAAAUUCUAUUAAUAUUCGAGAGAAAUAGCACUAAUCAUCAUUUAUUUCAAUUACUCAGUUACAUCAUUAAACAUAAUAAAGGAAAAUAAAGACCAUCCAGGAAGUUAUUCAUUAUUUCUAAAAAUUAGUUGACAAAAGUAUUCAUUUUUGGUGGGAUAAGCUGGUGCUAUAUUGAGAAAGUUGAGUCCUUAAGUGCUCACAAUGAAGAUAAAAGAUGUGAGUGGAAUCACUCAGCCAAAUUGGCCUCUCUUUUUUUGUUACAAAGAUAUGCAGAAAGCUUUGAAAACUCUCAUGCCAAUGUAUAAAGAUGCAUGGAAGAAAUUUUAUCAUCAUGGGAUAGAUAUAAGAGAGGUUGUGUAUUAGUCAGGGUUCUCUAAAGGAACAUAACCAACAGA
RNAcentral lists this long non-coding RNA (744 nucleotides) under Marmota monax (woodchuck). Lineage: Eukaryota; Metazoa; Chordata; Mammalia; Rodentia; Sciuridae. The record is from RNAcentral.